Long non-coding RNA from Cygnus olor (mute swan), 1396 nucleotides. RefSeq lists it as uncharacterized. NCBI's taxonomy places the organism in Eukaryota, Metazoa, Chordata, Aves, Anseriformes, Anatidae. The transcript is spliced from 2 exons. The record is from RefSeq and is a predicted model, not a curated record.
CAUCCCUAGACUACUGCUCCCCAGAAGAAAUUGUGCAUUCAGAGGAACAAUUCCUUUCCUAGAAGCAAUGCAUAACUGCAGCAAUUCCCUUGAAGAGCAAAUGAACAGGAAGAAGUCUCACUGAACAGGAAGGAGGAGCCAUACUGCUAAAGGAUCAUGUAAUGCUGAGAAGAAUAAACCUCCUAUAUUUGGCUACUAAAGUGAACAUGCAAUGUUUUGUAACAUGCUAAGUACGCAGAUGUCAAGUGUUUGGCUGGUCUUUGCAGGGAUCAGCAAAAGCAAAGCACUACCGUUAUUCCUGGUCAUUCUAGAAAGCAGAUUAUUUAGACGCAAGUGGGAGAAAUGAAGCCAUUUCCACACUCCUUUGGGAUUAACAUGCAGUAGCUGAGAACACCUGACAUUCUCAGGCUGUGUUCUCUUUCCUGACUAAUCUUUAAUGAGGUAAUAGUGCGCAUUUUCCUUUCUCUUCUUCACAUGUGCAUCUUACCCUUACAGAGAGCUGUCUAAAGUAAGGGGGAAUGUGGCAGUGUGACUGACAUCUCCUUUCUGUGCAGAUGAGAGAUCUGCAUGUGGAGAUCACAGGCACACCAUCUGAUCCUGAAUAAGCAUGUGGGAUAUGACCCCAAGUGAAGAUAUGGGCUUUGGUCUAAUAAAAUUUCUUUUAACCUGCUUUGUAAUCAGAGCCUGUUUGAAAGUGUGCUCUGUGAUGGCUGGUUCAUGCUAAAAAGGAAAAUGAAAAAUGUUUUUGAGUAGUAUACGGGUUAAUGCUGGAAUUUUGUUUAAACAGCUCAGAACUGCUACAAGAACAGGGACUUACAGAUAAUAGGAAUAUAUCUUUACAGACAGCCCUACCUUUUAAAAACACACAUACGUGCUGUUGUUUCUAAUGAAGCUGGUGAUAUGGAUAUUUGUAAACAGAAGCAUUUAACUUAUGACACAAUAACUUAUUUUGAAAGGAAAAUAAUAUUCAAAUGAGAAUCUCCUAAAUAAAGUGUUGUUCUUAUGUGAUCACAUAAUAUUCACUUGAAACACCUCCAUCACUGUCAUGGUAGAAGUCUGUGAUUCACUGACAUCAGGAUUUUUCAAAUGUAAAAAAGAUUGCCUUUUAUUAUGGGUCAGGUUGACGGGAAGGGCAAAUUAUGGUGUUGCCUAAAGUGAGUUACUUGCUCAAUUUUGGCAUCAAUAGCCAGCAGAGGCCAGUGAGUGCUGCCCUAGAAAAGAGGGAUUAAGAUGAGCUAGCUAGGGAGGUUCCCACCUUAAGGUAGAGUUUAUAUCAUAUUAGACUAGAGAGAACAACUAAAUCUAAACCAUAAAAAUCUGUGUUCACUUGAGGAGGAGGUAGACCAAGGUUUGACCACAUGAUGCUACAGGCACAAGUGUGCCAAUCAUAAGGAAG